GGGAAUUUUGCCCAAUGGGGCCAAGCCUGAUGAAGCCAUGCCCGGUGUUAGAAGAAGGCCUUUCGGGUUGUAAAGUACUUUCAGCAGUGAGGAAGGUGGGUAUGUUAAUAGCAUAUUCAUUUGACGUUAGCUGCAGAAGAAGCCCCGGCUAAUUCCGUGCCAGCAGCCGCGGUAAUACGGAGGGUGCGAGCGUUAAUCGGAAUUACUGGGCGUAAAGCGCAUGCAGGUGGUUUGUUAAGUCAGAUGUGAAAGCCCGGGGCUCAACCUCGGAAUUGCAUUUGAAACUGACAAACUAGAGUACUGUAGAGGGGGGUAGAAUUUCAGGUGUAGCGGUGAAAUGCGUAGAGAUCUGAAGGAAUACCGGUGGCGAAGGCGGCCCCCUGGACAGAUACUGACACUCAGAUGCGAAAGCGUGGGGAGCAAACAGGAUUAGAUACCCUGGUAGUCCACGCCGUAAACGAUGUCUACUUGGAGGUUGUGGCCUUGAGCCGUGGCUUUCGGAGCUAACGCGUUAAGUAGACCGCCUGGGGAGUACGGUCGCAAGAUUAAAACUCAAAUGAAUUGACGGGGGCCCGCACAAGCGGUGGAGCAUGUGGUUUAAUUCGAUGCAACGCGAAGAACCUUACCUACUCUUGACAUCUACAGAAGCCAGCGGAGACGCAGGUGUGCCUUCGGGAACUGUAAGACAGGUGCUGCAUGGCUGUCGUCAGCUCGUGUUGUGAAAUGUUGGGUUAAGUCCCGCAACGAGCGCAAUCCUUAUCCUUGUUUGCCAGCACUUCGGGUGGGAACUCCAGGGAGACUGCCGGUGAUAAACCGGAGGAAGGUGGGGACGACGUCAAGUCAUCAUGGCCCUUACGAGUAGGGCUACACACGUGCUACAAUGGCGCAUACAGAGGGCGGCCAACUUGCGAAAGUGAGCGAAUCCCAAAAAGUGCGUCGUAGUCCGGAUUGGAGUCUGCAACUCGACUCCAUGAAGUCGGAAUCGCUAGUAAUCGUGGAUCAGAAUGCCACGGUGAAUACGUUCCCGGGCCUUGUACACACCGCCCGUCACACCAUGGGAGUGGGCUGCAAAAGAAGUGGGUAGUUUAACCUUCGGGAGGACGCUCACCACUUUGUGGUUCAUGACUGGGGUGAAGUCGUAACAAGGGAACCG
RNAcentral lists this ribosomal RNA (1153 nucleotides) under uncultured bacterium. Its description in RNAcentral is "bacterial SSU rRNA". It matches the Rfam family "Bacterial small subunit ribosomal RNA", at positions 357 to 1502 of the family's 1533-position model. The record is from RNAcentral.